AACACAAGCUAAUACAAUCAGACACACACACGCCUACACACACACACACACACACACACACACAAAACAGUGACUAUUAUUUAAUAGACAGAUGUUUUUCAUAGAUGCUCUCCGCCCUCUUCAAAGUACCGUAUGGCACUCAUUCGCAACAUCCCUGUCUAUUAAAAAGACACCUUUUACAUUUAAAAUAAAAUACUUGAUCGUACUUUUAUCCACAUUAUGCAAGAUAUAUUUACAAUAUCCAUUAGUGGUUGCAUUGUAAAAACAUAGUUUAUCAGUUAUUUUUAUUGUUUGCUGUAAAAGAAAUUCGUCAAAAUGAUCUUCAAUAAAUCAUUACCCCUAAACGCAUAAUGCAUAUCAAUUCAAUGAUAUAAAAUUCCAUAGUAAGUGUCAUAACUUAUUUAACAACAUAUAUUCAUUUCAGAUCAUACUGGUAAUUUGACGCCAGUCAAGCUCAAUCCCAACCUUUUUUCGGUUCUAGCGGCCUGGACCCUGAAUUUCGGACACACAUACAAAACAAGCACCAUCCGAGAAAGUGCACACCAUGCGCCUGCAAGAAACCUGAUCAGUUGUUUGUUUAUCGGGAACCUGACGCUCAUUUUUUAUCUUAAAACUGAAUAAAUUCUUUUUCUGUGGUUUGUUGUUUCAAUAUGAACCUAUGAUAGUGACAAUAAUGACGAAAAUAGAGAUCAAAAUAAUACCAGCGUUGGAGGAAACUUAUACUAAAAUGGUACCUGUUCGAGCACUUUCAAACCCAGUUUAUGUAUAAAUAAACAGUUCAUGAAAUUUUUUUAAUUAAAAUUGUUUUAAAACUGGCUUUGUAAAAAUAUGCCCAAUUUUUAGACCCAUUGUAUAUUAAAAUGUCUUUUAAAGGUUAAAAACCACACAAAAAAUUGUUUAAUGCUUUUAUAAACCAGCUUUUUUCUUUUCCUAUUUCAUUGAACAGAUCUCAAUGUUCUUCCUCAGCAAAUCUAUCUUUGCAAUAAUUGCAAGUUUCCUUUUAAUUCCAAAUUCUGUUCUGCAGCAUUAUAGUUUUUAACAUAUCUCUGAACAAACUUAAUUUUCCCUGCUAUCACUUACCUAUUAGGCUAAUUUUAAUUUUUUUUUUUUUUUAAUUUAUGUCAGUUUCAUUUUCGACAGUUUCUGAAUUUUUCAUUCUCACACGCAAAAAAAAAAAAAAAAAAAAAAAA
This is a long non-coding RNA of Lingula anatina, 1190 nucleotides long. RefSeq lists it as uncharacterized. Lineage: Eukaryota; Metazoa; Brachiopoda; Lingulata; Lingulida; Lingulidae. The record is from RefSeq and is a predicted model, not a curated record.